UGAGACGGCCACCCAGCCUGCUCCCGUG
RNAcentral lists this unclassified non-coding RNA (28 nucleotides) under Mus musculus (house mouse). Its description in RNAcentral is "oocyte_clustered_small_RNA13786". The record is from RNAcentral. Lineage: Eukaryota; Metazoa; Chordata; Mammalia; Rodentia; Muridae.